GGGGAUAUAGCUCAGAGGUAGUGCAUUUGUCUAGCAUGCAGAAUGCUCUGGGUUCAAUCCUCAGCAACCCCC
This 72-nucleotide transfer RNA is filed under the name Fukomys damarensis (Damara mole-rat). It matches the Rfam family "tRNA". Rfam says of the family: Transfer RNA (tRNA) molecules are approximately 80 nucleotides in length. Their secondary structure includes four short double-helical elements and three loops (D, anti-codon, and T loops). Further hydrogen bonds mediate the characteristic L-shaped molecular structure. tRNAs have two regions of fundamental functional importance: the anti-codon, which is responsible for specific mRNA codon recognition, and the 3' end, to which the tRNAs corresponding amino acid is attached (by aminoacyl-tRNA synthetases). tRNAs cope with the degeneracy of the genetic code in two manners: having more than one tRNA (with a specific anti-codon) for a particular amino acid; and 'wobble' base-pairing, i.e. permitting non-standard base-pairing at the 3rd anti-codon position. The record is from Rfam by way of RNAcentral. Lineage: Eukaryota; Metazoa; Chordata; Mammalia; Rodentia; Bathyergidae.